Long non-coding RNA from Oncorhynchus tshawytscha (Chinook salmon), 472 nucleotides. Lineage: Eukaryota; Metazoa; Chordata; Actinopteri; Salmoniformes; Salmonidae. The record is from Ensembl.
CAGGUUAAGAGCAGGAGGUCAGGGAGAAACAGUCAGGUUAAGAGCAGGCAGUCAGGGUGAAACAGUCUGGUUAGGAGCAGGCAGUCAGGUUGAAACAGUCAGGUAGAAACAGUCAGGUUAGGAGCAGGCAGUCAGGGUGAAACAGUCAGUUUAGGAGCAGGCAGUCAGGGAGAAACAGUCAGGUUAGGAGCAGGCAGUCAGGGUGAAACAGUCUGGUUAGGAGCAGGCAGUCAGUGUGAAACAGUCAGGUUAGGAGCAGGCAGUCAGUGAGAAACAGUCAGGUUAGGAGCAGGCAGUCAGUGAUAAAUAGUCAGGUUAGGAGCAGGCAGUCAGGGAGAAACAGUCUGGUUAGGAGCAGGCAGUCAGUGAGAAACAGUCAGGUUAGGAGCAGGCAGUCAGUGAUAAACAGUCAGGUUAGGAGCAGGCAGUCAGGGAGAAACAGUCAGGUAGAAACAGUCAGGUAGAAACAGCC